ACUACGGGUGGCAGCAGUGAGGAAUAUUGGUCAAUGGGCGGAAGCCUGAACCAGCCAAGUAGCGUGCAGGAUGACGGCCCUACGGGUUGUAAACUGCUUUUAUACGGGAAUAACGCGCCUUACGUGUAGGGCUUUGCAUGUACCGUAUGAAUAAGGACCGGCUAAUUCCGUGCCAGCAGCCGCGGUAAUACGGAAGGUCCGGGCGUUAUCCGGAUUUAUUGGGUUUAAAGGGAGCGUAGGCCGCAUGCAAAGCUUGCUGUGAAAUGUCCGGGCUCAACCCGGGCCUUGCAGCGCGAACUGGCGUGCUUGAGUCCGCGGAAAGCAGGCGGAAUUCGUCGUGUAGCGGUGAAAUGCUUAGAUAUGACGAAGAACCCCGAUUGCGAAGGCAGCUUGCUGCAGCGGAACUGACGCUGAUGCUCGAAAGCGCGGGUAUCGAACAGGAUUAGAUACCCUGGUAGUC
RNAcentral lists this ribosomal RNA (460 nucleotides) under uncultured bacterium. RNAcentral's name for it is "partial 16S ribosomal RNA". It matches the Rfam family "Bacterial small subunit ribosomal RNA", at positions 338 to 795 of the family's 1533-position model. The record is from RNAcentral.